RNAcentral lists this ribosomal RNA (396 nucleotides) under uncultured bacterium. RNAcentral describes it as "partial 16S ribosomal RNA". It matches the Rfam family "Bacterial small subunit ribosomal RNA", at positions 523 to 918 of the family's 1533-position model. The record is from RNAcentral.
AUACGUAGGUGACAAGCGUUAUCCGGAUUUACUGGGCGUAAAGGGCGUGUAGGCGGUCUUGCAAGUCAGAAGUGAAAUUCCUGAGCUCAACUCGGGCGCUGCUUCUGAAACUGCAGGACUUGAGUGCUGGAGGGGAUAGCGGAAUUCCUAGUGGAGCGGUAAAAUGCGCAGAUAUUAGGAAGAACACCGGUGGCGAAGGCGGCUAUCUGGACAGUAACUGACGCUGAGGCGCGAAAGCGUGGGGAGCAAACAGGAUUAGAUACCCUGGUAGUCCACGCGGUAAACGAUGAAUACUAGGUGUCGGGUGGCAAAGCCAUUCGGUGCCGCAGCUAACGCAAUAAGUAUUCCACCUGGGGAGUACGUUCGCAAGAAUGAAACUCAAAGGAAUUGACGGGG